UGAUUGUCCAAACGCAAUUCUU
This 22-nucleotide non-coding RNA is filed under the name Daphnia pulex (common water flea). Its record names the gene dpu-miR-219. The record is from miRBase by way of RNAcentral. RNAcentral also lists the same sequence under 10 other names. Lineage: Eukaryota; Metazoa; Arthropoda; Branchiopoda; Diplostraca; Daphniidae.